GGCUCCAUAGCUCAGUAGUAAGAGCACUGGUUUUAUUGACUAGGGGUUGAGAGUUCAAUCCUUACUGGAACCU
Gymnothorax javanicus (giant moray) is the source of this 73-nucleotide non-coding RNA. Lineage: Eukaryota; Metazoa; Chordata; Actinopteri; Anguilliformes; Muraenidae. The record is from the annotation of a GenBank genome assembly.